This 434-nucleotide ribosomal RNA is filed under the name uncultured Lachnospiraceae bacterium. RNAcentral describes it as "bacterial SSU rRNA". It matches the Rfam family "Bacterial small subunit ribosomal RNA", at positions 341 to 792 of the family's 1533-position model. The record is from RNAcentral. Lineage: Bacteria; Bacillati; Bacillota; Clostridia; Lachnospirales; Lachnospiraceae.
ACGGAAGGCAGCAGUGGGGAAUAUUGCACAAUGGGCGCAAGCCUGAUGCAGCGACGCCGCGUGAGUGAAGAAGUAUUUCGGUAUGUAAAGCUCUAUCAGCAGGAAAGAAAAUGACGGUACCUGACUAAGAAGCCCCGGCUAACUACGUGCCAGCAGCCGCGGUAAUACGUAGGGGGCAAGCGUUAUCCGGAUUUACUGGGUGUAAAGGGAGCGUAGACGGUUUUGCAAGUCUGAAGUGAAAUGCCGGGGCUCAACCCCGGAACUGCUUUGGAAACUGUAGGACUAGAGUGCAGGAGAGGUAAGUGGAAUUCCUAGUGUAGCGGUGAAAUGCGUAGAUAUUAGGAGGAACACCAGUGGCGAAGGCGGCUUACUGGACUGUAACUGACGUUGAGGCUCGAAAGCGUGGGGAGCAAACAGGAUUAGAUACCCUGGUA